UGGGGAAUAUUGGACAAUGGACCAAAAGUCUGAUCCAGCAAUUCUGUGUGCACGAUGACGUUUUUCGGAAUGUAAAGUGCUUUCAGUUGGGAAGAAAAAAAUGACGGUACCAACAGAAGAAGUGACGGCUAAAUACGUGCCAGCAGCCGCGGUAAUACGUAUGUCACAAGCGUUAUCCGGAUUUAUUGGGCGUAAAGCGCGUCUAGGUGGUUAUGUAAGUCUGAUGUGAAAAUGCAGGGCUCAACUCUGUAUUGCGUUGGAAACUGCAUGACUAGAGUACUGGGGAGGUAAGCGGAACUACAAGUGUAGAGGUGAAAUUCGUAGAUAUUUGUAGGAAUGCCGAUGGGGAAGCCAGCUUACUGGACAGAUACUGACGCUAAAGCGCGAAAGCGUGGGUAGCAAACAGGAUUAGAUACCCUGGUAGUCCACGCCGUAAACGAUGAUUACUAGGUGUUGGGGGUCGAACCUCAGCGCCCAAGCUAACGCGAUAAGUAAUCCGCCUGGGGAGUACGUACGCAAGUAUG
This 524-nucleotide ribosomal RNA is filed under the name uncultured bacterium. Its description in RNAcentral is "bacterial SSU rRNA". It matches the Rfam family "Bacterial small subunit ribosomal RNA", at positions 355 to 896 of the family's 1533-position model. The record is from RNAcentral.